Molecule: ribosomal RNA, 220 nt
Filed under: uncultured bacterium
Lineage: Bacteria
Description: partial 16S ribosomal RNA
Rfam family: Bacterial small subunit ribosomal RNA
Source: RNAcentral
UAAUGUAUGGGGAUCUGCCCGAUAGAGGGGAAUAACUACUGGAAACGGUGGCUAAUACCGCAUAAUGUCUACGGACCAAAGCAGGGGCUCUUCGGACCUUGCACUAUCGGAUGAACCCAUAUGGGAUUAGCUAGUAGGUGGGGUAAAGGCUCACCUAGGCGACGAUCUCUAGCUGGUCUGAGAGGAUGAUCAGCCACACUGGGGCUGAGACACGGCCCAG